This 501-nucleotide ribosomal RNA is filed under the name uncultured bacterium. RNAcentral's name for it is "partial 16S ribosomal RNA". It matches the Rfam family "Bacterial small subunit ribosomal RNA", at positions 29 to 523 of the family's 1533-position model. The record is from RNAcentral.
AUUGAACGCUGGCGGCAUGCCUUACACAUGCAAGUCGAACGGCAGCACGGGUGCUUGCACCUGGUGGCGAGUGGCGAACGGGUGAGUAAUACAUCGGAACGUACCUUAUCGUGGGGGAUAACGCAGCGAAAGCUGUGCUAAUACCGCAUACGCCCUGAGGGGGAAAGCGGGGGAUCGAAAGACCUCGCGCGAUUAGAGCGGCCGAUGCCUGAUUAGCUUGUUGGUGGGGUAAAAGCCCACCAAGGCGACGAUCAGUAGCUGGUCUGAGAGGACGAUCAGCCACACUGGGACGAAGACACGGCCCAGACUCCUACGGGAGGCAGCAGUGGGGAAUUUUGGACAAUGGGGGCAACCCUGAUCCAGCAAUGCCGCGUGAGUGAAGAAGGCCUUCGGGUUGUAAAGCUCUUUUGUCAGGGAAGAAACACCGGCUCUAACACAGUCCGGGAAUGACGGUACCUGAAGAAUAAGCACCGGCUAACUACGUGCCAGCAGCCGCCGUAA